CCGGAAUCAUUGGGCGUAAAGCGCCUGUAGGUUGUUUAAUAAGUCUGUUGUUAAAGACUAGGGCUUAACCCUAGAAAAGCAAUGGAAACUACUAGACUAGAGUAUGGCAGGGGUAGAGGGAAUUUCUAGUGUAGCGGUGAAAUGCGUAGAUAUUAGAAAGAACACCAGUGGCGAAAGCGCUCUACUGGACCAUUACUGACACUCAGAGGCGAAAGCUAGGGUAGCAAAAGGGAUUAGAUACCCCUGUAGUCCUAGCCGUAAACGAUGGAUACUAGAUGUUGUGUAUAAUUUACAGUAUCGUAGCUAACGCGUUAAGUAUCCCGCCUGGGGAGUACGCUCGCAAGGGUGAAACUCAAAGGAAUUGACGGGGGCCCGCACAAGCGGUGGAGCAUGUGGUUUAAUUCGAUGCAACGCGAAGAAUUUUACCAGGGCUUGACAUACUACGGAUUUUUUAGAGAUAAAGAAGUGCCUUCGGGAAUGUAGAUACAGGUGGUGCAUGGCUGUCGUCAGCUCGUGUCGUGAGAUGUUGGGUUAAGUCCCGCAACGAGCGCAACUUUUGUUUUUAGUUACUAAUUCGUUAGGUUUUCUAGAAAGACUGCCGGUGACAAACCGGAGGAAGGUGAGGAUGACGUCA
This 634-nucleotide ribosomal RNA is filed under the name uncultured marine haptophyte. RNAcentral's name for it is "bacterial SSU rRNA". It matches the Rfam family "Bacterial small subunit ribosomal RNA", at positions 545 to 1187 of the family's 1533-position model. The record is from RNAcentral. Lineage: Eukaryota; Haptophyta.